Molecule: non-coding RNA, 24 nt
Filed under: Arabidopsis thaliana (thale cress)
Lineage: Eukaryota; Viridiplantae; Streptophyta; Magnoliopsida; Brassicales; Brassicaceae
Source: RNAcentral
AUCGAUUUGUGUCACUUUUUACAC